This 68-nucleotide transfer RNA is filed under the name Phrynocephalus clarkorum. Its description in RNAcentral is "tRNA-Asn". Lineage: Eukaryota; Metazoa; Chordata; Lepidosauria; Squamata; Agamidae. The record is from RNAcentral.
UAAACUGAUGCCAAUAAUAGGCGAGCAGCUGUUAACUGCUAGUUUGCGGGAGAGAUACCUGCCAGUUU